AGAGUGAACGCUGGCGGCGUGCCUAACACAUGCAAGUCGAACGAGAACGGAACUAGCUUGCUAGUUUGUCAGCUAAGUGGCGCACGGGUGAGUAAUAUAUAGUUAAUCUGCCCCAAAGAAGAGAAUAAUUGUUGGAAACGACUUGUAAUGCUCUAUAUGCCUUUAUCACAUAAGUGAGCAAGGGAAACAUUUAUGGCUUUGGGAUGAGACUGUACGGUAUCAGCUAGUUGGUGAGGUAAUGGCUCACCAAGGCUAUGACAUCUAACUGGUUUGAGAGGAUGAUCAGUCACACUGGAACUGAGACACGGUCCAGACUCCUACGGGAGGCAGCAGUGGGGAAUAUUGCACAAUGGACGAAAGUCUGAUGCAGCAACGCCGCGUGGAGGAUGACACAUUUCGGUGCGUAAACUCCUUUUAUAUGAGAAGAUAAUGACGGUAUCAUAUGAAUAAGCACCGGCUAACUCCGUGCCAGCAGCCGCGGUAAUACGGGGGGUGCAAGCGUUACUCGGAAUCACUGGGCGUAAAGAGCAUGUAGGCUGGUUUGUAAGUUGGAAGUGAAAUCCUAUGGCUUAACCAUAGAACUGCUUCCAAAACUGCAGACCUAGAAUAUGGGAGAGGUAGAUGGAAUUUCUGGUGUAGGGGUAAAAUCCGUAGAGAUCAGAAGGAAUACCGAUUGCGAAGGCGAUCUACUGGAACAUUAUUGACGCUGAGAUGCGAAAGCGUGGGGAGCAAACAGGAUUAGAUACCCUGGUAGYCCACGCCCUAAACGAUGCACACUAGUUGUUGCCUUGCUCGACAAGGCAGUAAUGCAGUUAACACAGUAAGUGUGCCGCCUGGGGAGUACGGUCGCAAGAUUA
Molecule: ribosomal RNA, 857 nt
Filed under: uncultured bacterium
Lineage: Bacteria
Description: bacterial SSU rRNA
Rfam family: Bacterial small subunit ribosomal RNA
Source: RNAcentral